AUCACCUCUUGUUUCAGAAGAUCUGAAAGUCUUUCUAUGUCUUAAAAUUUCUUCUACAUGCAGGGAGCACCAUUUGACAUAAAUGAAGACAAGGACAAUGAUCAAAUCUGAAAGAGAGUUAAUUGAAAAGGAGUAACUUGCUGUAAUCUGCAGAUUGAGCUUCUUAGGAGGAUUCAGGGAAGCCAGAGUGAGUCAAAUGAUGUUACAUAGAGGUAUUUUCCCUGGGAGACACAACACCAUAACUUUAUUGACCUCAAAUCAGGAAAAAGGCCAACAUCAUAGUAGCUCAAAGGGGCAAAACACAAAGGGAGAAAAGAGGAA
This is a long non-coding RNA of Tupaia belangeri chinensis (Chinese tree shrew), 321 nucleotides long. RefSeq lists it as uncharacterized. The record is from RefSeq and is a predicted model, not a curated record. The transcript is spliced from 3 exons. NCBI's taxonomy places the organism in Eukaryota, Metazoa, Chordata, Mammalia, Scandentia, Tupaiidae.